AACCCUUGUCCUUAGUUACCAGCACGUUAUGUGGGCACUCUAAGGAGACUGCCGGUGACAAACCGGAGGAAGGUGGGGAGUGACGUCAAGUCAUCAUGGCCCUUACGGCCUGGGCUACACACGUGCUACAAUGGUCGGUACAAAGGGUUGCCAAGCCGCGAGGUGGAGCUAAUCCCAUAAAACCGAUCGUAGUCCGGAUCGCAGUCUGCAACUCGACUGCGUGAAGUCGGAAUCGCUAGUAAUCGUGAAUCAGAAUGUCACGGUGAAUACGUUCCCGGGCCUU
This 283-nucleotide ribosomal RNA is filed under the name uncultured Pseudomonas sp. Its description in RNAcentral is "partial 16S ribosomal RNA". It matches the Rfam family "Bacterial small subunit ribosomal RNA", at positions 1100 to 1382 of the family's 1533-position model. Lineage: Bacteria; Pseudomonadati; Pseudomonadota; Gammaproteobacteria; Pseudomonadales; Pseudomonadaceae. The record is from RNAcentral.